RNAcentral lists this ribosomal RNA (460 nucleotides) under uncultured bacterium. RNAcentral describes it as "bacterial SSU rRNA". It matches the Rfam family "Bacterial small subunit ribosomal RNA", at positions 340 to 786 of the family's 1533-position model. The record is from RNAcentral.
UACGGAAGGCAGCAGUGGGGAAUAUUGCACAAUGGGCGCAAGCCUGAUGCAGCCAUGCCGCGUGUAUGAAGAAGGCCUUCGGGUUGUAAAGUACUUUCAGCGGGGAGGAAGGCGAUGCGGUUAAUAACCGCGUCGAUUGACGUUACCCGCAGAAGAAGCACCGGCUAACUCCGUGCCAGCAGCCGCGGUAAUACGGAGGGUGCAAGCGUUAAUCGGAAUUACUGGGCGUAAAGCGCACGCAGGCGGUCUGUUAAGUCAGAUGUGAAAUCCCCCGGGCUUAACCUGGGAACUGCAUUUUGAAACUGGCAGGCUUGAGUCUUGUAGAGGGGGUAGAAUUCCAGGUGUAGCGGUGAAAUGCGUAGAGAUCUGGAGGAAUACCGGGUGGCGAAGGCGGGCCCCUGGGACAAAGACUGACGCUCAGGGUGCGAAAGCGUGGGGAGCGAAACAGGAUUAGGAUACC